CUGCUCUCCAUCCGACGCACGAGUGUGUGCCACGCACGCGGGCCCCCUCUGGACGGCGUGGAUUGCCGGACGCUUGACAAGCAGCUCAAUGUGGUGCAUGGUUUUUGGGAGAAACGGGACAGUGUGGUGAGGAGCCUCUUUCUCCUCUUUCUCCUCUCUCCUCUCCUCUCCUCCUCCAUCGCAUUAGGGAUUGCGCUAUCCCUUCCGCCGGGGCGCUGGCGCCAUGAAUCGCAGGCGCGUGGCUCCAGAUUUUGGAUACAAUGCAGGGGUGCGCCGCGAAUCCCAUCCAGAUUUGGGCAAGGCAAUGCGGUGGAUGAUCUUCAAGGCGAUCGAUCUAGCUCCAUUGGGAGCGGCGGCGAGGAUUUGAAGCAUCUGGAUCGCGUAUUAUGCCAGCAUCGAGCUCCGGCGCCGCGAAAUAUCACUGUGGAUAGGCAGAGUAGCUCAGGAUAGGGAUUUCGGGCAUCCGGCAUCAUGCCUCCCAGUAGAAGAAGCUCAUCGGCGUCCCUCCUCCAGCAGCGCGGCAAGGGAGGCACAAAGCCUACCGCCAUCACAAACUGGAUUCCCUGCCAGGCUGCAGUAACAUUCACCACAAAUAAGAUGAAAAACAUGCUGGAACAGACGCUUACGAAAGAGUGAACACGCCACUCCCGGUGUUCAGGUUUGUGAUCUUAUUGUUAUCCAGCUGGACAUUAACAAGGGAUGAAAUCAAUUGCUGAACAGACAUUUUAAUACUUGAUAGAGAUUUCGUCAG
Molecule: long non-coding RNA, 751 nt
Filed under: Selaginella moellendorffii
Lineage: Eukaryota; Viridiplantae; Streptophyta; Lycopodiopsida; Selaginellales; Selaginellaceae
Description: long non-coding RNA (SMOE_LNC001908)
Source: RNAcentral